Molecule: ribosomal RNA, 512 nt
Filed under: uncultured bacterium
Lineage: Bacteria
Description: bacterial SSU rRNA
Rfam family: Bacterial small subunit ribosomal RNA
Source: RNAcentral
GACGAACGCUGGCGGCGUGCUUAACACAUGCAAGUCGAACGGUGACGAGGAGCUUGCUCCUCUGAUCAGUGGCGAACGGGUGAGUAACACGUGGGCAACCUGCCCCUGACUUCGGGAUAACGCUUCGAAAGAGGUGCUAAUACCGGAUAUGAGUCCCUCCGGCAUCUGAGGGACUGGAAAGUUUUUCGGUCAGGGAUGGGCCCGCGGCCUAUCAGCUUGUUGGUGAGGUAACGGCUCACCAAGGCGACGACGGGUAGCCGGCCUGAGAGGGCGACCGGCCAACGACUGGGACUGAGACACGGCCCAGACUCCUACGGGAGGCAGCAGUGGGGAAUAUUGCGCAAUGGGGGAAACCCUGACGCAGCGACGCCGCGUGAGCGAAGAAGGCCUUAGGGUCGUAAAGCUCUGUUGUAAGGGACGAAUGUUUAUCUGGCGAACAGUCAGAUAAAGUGACGGUACCUUACCAGCAAGCCCCGGCUAACUACGUGCCAGCAGCCGCGGUAAUACGUCUA